This 449-nucleotide ribosomal RNA is filed under the name uncultured Sphingobacteriales bacterium. RNAcentral describes it as "bacterial SSU rRNA". It matches the Rfam family "Bacterial small subunit ribosomal RNA", at positions 936 to 1382 of the family's 1533-position model. Lineage: Bacteria; Pseudomonadati; Bacteroidota; Sphingobacteriia; Sphingobacteriales. The record is from RNAcentral.
AGCAUGUGGUUUAAGUUCGAAGCAACGCGAAGAACCUUACCCAGGCCUUGACAUGCAGAGAACUUUCCAGAGAUGGAUUGGUGCCUUCGGGAACUCUGACACAGGUGCUGCAUGGCUGUCGUCAGCUCGUGUCGUGAGAUGUUGGGUUAAGUCCCAUAACGAGCGCAACCCCUACCUUUAGUUGCCAUCAGGUUAAGCUGGGGACUCUAAAGGAACUGCCUACGCAAGUAGUGAGGAAGGCGGGGAUGACGUCAAAUCAGCACGGCCCUUACGUCCAGGGCUACACACGUGCUACAAUGGCCGAUACAGAGGGCAGCUACCUGGUGACAGGAUGCAAAUCUCCAAAGUCGGUCUCAGUUCGGAUCGGAGUCUGCAACCCGACUCCGUGAAGUUGGAUUCGCUAGUAAUCGCGCAUCAGCCAUGGCGCGGUGAAUACGUUCCCGGGCCUU